RNAcentral lists this ribosomal RNA (440 nucleotides) under uncultured bacterium. Its description in RNAcentral is "partial 16S ribosomal RNA". It matches the Rfam family "Bacterial small subunit ribosomal RNA", at positions 28 to 507 of the family's 1533-position model. The record is from RNAcentral.
GACGAACGCUGGCGGCGUGCCUAAUGCAUGCAAGUCGCACGCGGCACCUUCGGGUGCUGAGUGGCGAACGGCUGAGGAACACGUGGGGACCUGUCCGGGAGUGGGGGACAACACCGCGAAAGCGGUGCUAAUCCCGCAUACGCUCUGAGGAGGAAAGCCGAAAGGCGCUCCCGGGUGGCCCUGCGGCCCAUCAGGUUGUUGGGGGGGUAACGGCCUACCAAGCCAAUGACGGGUCGCUGGUCUGUGAGGACGACCAGCCAGACUGGGACUGGGACACGGCCCAGACUCCUACGGGAGGCAGCAGGAAGGAAUUUUCGGCAAUGGGCGCAAGCCUGACCGAGCAACGGCGCGUGCAGGAAGACGGCCUUCGGGUUGUAAACUGCUUUUGCUAGGGAGGAUAACAGACAGUACCUGGCGAAUCAGCCCCGGCUAACUCUGUG